AGAGUUUGAUCCUGGCUCAGAACGAACACUGGCGGCGUGGAUUAGGCAUGCAAGUCGAGCGGGAUUACCUUUUUUCAAUUCUUCGGAAGAGAAGUUUGGUAUGAGAGCGGCGAACGGGUGAGUAAUAUAUGGGUAAUUUGCCUUGGAGCUCGGGAUAGCCAUCCGAAAGGGUGGGUAAUACCGAAUGUGCUCGGGUACCGCAUGGUACCUUAUGUAAAGGUGGGGAUCUUCGGACCUGCCACUCCUAGAUAGGCCCAUAUCCUAUCAGCUUGUUGGUAAGGUAAUGGCUUACCAAGGCUUACGGGUAGCCGACCUGAGAGGGUGACCGGCCACACUGGGACUGAGACACUGCCCAGACUCCUACGGGAGGCUGCAGUCGAGAAUCAUUGUCAAUGCACGAAAGUGUGAACAUGCGACGCCGCGUGGAGGACGACGGCCUUCGGGUUGUAAACUCCUGUCCUGAGGGAGUAAUUGUACGACGGUUAAUACCUGUUGUAUUUGAUAGUACCUCAGAAGAAAGUCACGGCUAACUCUGUGCCAGCAGCCGCGGUAAUACAGAGGUGGCAAGUGUUGUUCGGAUUUACUGGGCGUAAAGGGUCCGCAGGCGGUCCUGUGUGUCGGAUGUGAAAGCUCACGGCUUAACCGUGGAAUUGCAUUCGAAACUACAGGACUAGAGUACAGGAGGGGAGCAGGGAAUUCAUGGUGUAGCGGUGAAAUGCGUAGAUAUCAUGAAGAACACCGGUGGCGAAGGCGCUGCUCUGGACUGAUACUGACGCUCAUGGACGAAAGCUGGGGUAGCGAAGAGGAUUAGAUACCCUCGUAGUCCCAGCCGUAAACGGUGUGCACUUGUUGUUGGAGGUUUACCCCCUUCAGUGACGGAGCUAACGCGUUAGUGCACCGCCUGGGAAGUACGGCCGCAAGGUUAAAACUCAAAGGAAUUGACGGGGGCCCGCACAAGCGGUGGAGCAUGUGGCUUAAUUCGAUGCAACGCGAAGAACCUUACCAGGGCUUGACAUGUGACUGCAUAUGACCCGAAAGGGACAUAGCCUUCGAGGGUGUCACACAGGUGCUGCAUGGCUGUCGUC
RNAcentral lists this ribosomal RNA (1085 nucleotides) under uncultured bacterium. RNAcentral describes it as "bacterial SSU rRNA". It matches the Rfam family "Bacterial small subunit ribosomal RNA", at positions 8 to 1056 of the family's 1533-position model. The record is from RNAcentral.